AAAAUAAUCAAUUAUUGCUGAUGAGUUUCGGGAUGUAAUACAAUUCACAGAUGUGGUGAUGUGGCACUCAAUUGUUACUGUUCAUGACAAAGUAAUAAUAAAUGUUUUUGUUAAUUAAACUACCAAUAUCUUUUAUGUACACAAUUACACCAAUGACUUGGUGCUUUCGACCAGACAGAUUUAGCCAGCUUUGAUGAUUAUGAAUGUGGGAUUUUUCCACUUAUUGACUUGUCAGUUGAUUUUGAAUGUGGGAUUUUUCCACUUAUUGACUUGUCAGUUGAUUUGGUUGACAGGUAAUUGUUGGUACAUUUCAUAUAGACUCCAAGAAGGAUAUGAGAGGUGAUGGUCAAGGAGAUGCUGCUUCGAAGAAGUUGCCAUUGGCAAUUGGUGGCGCUUCAGCAUCAGAUUUAGGCGUCUGGUCACCUGCUGAUUCUACUCAUCAAACUGUUGGUGGAAGUCAAUUUAUGAUUCAGCAUCAGGGCAUGCAUUUGACGCCUUCGCAAUCGAUGGAAUGGAGAAAUAGCACCAUUCAUGGCAUGCAGCAUUCUUCUGAGAAUGGUGACUAUUAGCACCUUCCAGAUUUGUCAUGUACUUUUCUUAGGACAGGGUCUUGUUGGGAAGGAAAGAUGAAAAGGCGAACAAUCUCCGCAGCAUAUCACCUGAGCUCUCUAGAUAUUGACCAUUUUUCAUCUUGGAAGCUGACAAGUGUUUAUUCUCGACAGGGUAGAACUUUUCUAGCGAAGGAUCUCUCUCCUUGCAAAAUGUGUUUUGGUAGAUUUGGCUGGAUGGGGGUAACAUUUGCUUUUCGGUAAUAGGUUGGUCAAAAAUUUUGCGUUUUGUAUCUAUUGACCUUGGACCCAAAAUAUUUCCAUUCUAUGAGUUAGGUUUGAAUUAACUAGUUUGUCCUCAAUAUCGAGCUUACCCUUAAAAUCUUUAAGGUUUGGCCAACCAAGCCCCUGUAAAGAAAAAAAAGAAGUCUUUAUUUUUUUAAACUUAUUUUUAAUCAUAUAUUCUCUUAUAAAUAAUUUUACCCGUA
Molecule: long non-coding RNA, 1036 nt
Filed under: Olea europaea subsp. europaea
Lineage: Eukaryota; Viridiplantae; Streptophyta; Magnoliopsida; Lamiales; Oleaceae
Source: RNAcentral